UACGUAGGGGGCUAGCGUUGUUCGGAAUUACUGGGCGUAAAGGGCUCGUAGGCGGCCAACUAAGUCGGAUGUGAAAUCCCCAGGCUUAACCUGGGAACUGCAUCCGAUACUGGAUGGCUUGAAUCCGGGAGAGGGAUGCAGAAUUCCAGGUGUAGCGGUGAAAUGCGUAGAUAUCUGGAGGAAUACCGGUGGCGAAGGCGGCAUCCUGGACCGGCAUUGACGCUGAUGAGCGAAAGCUAGGGGAGCAAACGGG
Molecule: ribosomal RNA, 253 nt
Filed under: uncultured bacterium
Lineage: Bacteria
Description: partial 16S ribosomal RNA
Rfam family: Bacterial small subunit ribosomal RNA
Source: RNAcentral